GCUUUGGGUGCGUGGCCCGGCCUAAGUUCCUUGGAACAGGACGUCGUAGAGGGUGAGAAUCCCGUAUGCGGCCGGGGCGCCUGCCCGUGUAAAGCUCUUUCGACGAGUCGAGUUGUUUGGGAAUGCAGCUCAAAAUGGGUGGUAAAUUUCAUCUAAAGCUAAAUAUGGGCCAGAGACCGAUAGCGCACAAGUAGAGUGAUCGAAAGAUGAAAAGCACUUUGGAAAGAGAGUUAAACAGUACGUGAAAUUGUUGAAAGGGAAGCGCUUGCAACCAGACUUGGGCGUCGCUGAUCAUCCAAAGUUUUCUUUGGUGCACUCGGCGAGGCACAGGCCAGCAUCGGUUGGGGUGGUGGGAGAAAGGUCGUGGGAACGUAGCUCCUUUCGGGGAGUGUUAUAGCCUGCGGCGCAAUACCACCUACUCCGACCGAGGACCGCGCUUCGGCUAGGAUGCUGGCGUAAUGGUUGUAAGCGACCCGUCUUGAAACACGGACCAAGGAGUCUAACAUCUAUGCGAGUGUUUGGGUGCAAAACCCAUACGCGUAAUGAAAGUGAACGUAGGUGAGAACCCUUCGAGGGGGCAUCAUCGACCGAUCCUGAUGUCUUCGGAUGGAUUUGAGUAUGAGCAUAGCUGUUGGGACCCGAAAGAUGGUGAACUAUGCCUGAAUAGGGUGAAGCCAGAGGAAACUCUGGUGGAGGCUCGCAGCGGUUCUGACGUGCAAAUCGAUCGUC
Molecule: ribosomal RNA, 729 nt
Filed under: Phyllactinia lactucae-serriolae
Lineage: Eukaryota; Fungi; Ascomycota; Leotiomycetes; Helotiales; Erysiphaceae
Description: eukaryotic LSU rRNA
Rfam family: Eukaryotic large subunit ribosomal RNA
Source: RNAcentral